UCCCAUCUCACUUUUUUCUCCUAUUCCAUGAAAGUUUCUCUCAAGCUUCCAUCAUUCUCUCAAACAAACCCUAAUUUUCGUGCUUUACACACCCUAUUGUAGGGUUUUUAAUACUCUUUUACUCCUUCACCCCUUCACCUUAAACAAACCCUUAAAAGUUUUUCUUCAAUACUUUCUCUCACCAGCUGAACUUUGUAGAAAGAGAAAAAGAGGUUUCAUGAUAGUUUAAGGACUCUUGGGAAGAAAUUUCAUUACCAUCCACCAAGGUGAGUGAUGAAUUAAGAUUGGUUUUAAGUUAUUGAUGAUGACUAAUAAUUAAAGUUAUGAGUUGUGUUAUUUGCUGAAAUUGUUUAUCUAUUUUUAGUGUUACUAAAGUAGAGAAACGGAAUAGCCAAUCAAAUGGUAAUUGAAAGGUAGAUAGGAAGAGCUAUUGAAGCUUGAAUUGGGAAAUAGCUUUUGGAGUGAUAUUAAUGUAAAUUGGAUUGGCUACGAUGUUUCUGUGCAUGAUAGGUUCCAACAAGGCCCCUCAACCCCAUUUGGACCAUUACGAAAGUUAGAGUCGAUUAAAGGUUCAACAAUUACUAGUGAGUGAAUUUGCAUUAAAAGGUUUUGGGAUAUACACAUAUAUGUUGAUUGAAUCCCUUAAAACAUUUUACUUGGUUUUUUCUUCAAAACUUGCACGGGAACAAGCCCUUGUGAAAUGUUUUUAUGUUAUGAAAUGGAUUGUGUGAUGAAUUCAUAUGUUUCUAUAUAAUGUUGAUAUAUAUAUAUACUAUGUCAUAAAUGGUACCAUUGUGUGACAAAUGCAAUCGUGCAUGUGCGGGGUGAGUGUGCACUUGCCAGUGAUGACAGUGGUUAGAGAGAUGAAUGGUGAUACUGCCCAUGUGCACAAUGUGGGGGGAUGCACACGAUGGCAUUAACUGUGCAUGAUGUGGGGGGAUGCACACGAUGACUCUGGCUAUGUGCACGAUGUGGGGGGAUACACAUGAAUUGGUUGAGAUGGGGUGUCCCGUUAUGUGCACGAUGUGGGGGAUGCACAUGAGUUGGAUAAGAUGGGGUGGUUGUCAAGCCCUACUAUAUUAUAUACUUUUCAUGUCAUUCAUGUACUUGAUAGCAUAUCUACAUACUGGGAUACCUCAAAGAAUCAUUAAAAGUCGGCAUCGUACCUAGUGGUACAAUUAAGUCGAUUAAAACCUCGAACUAGUUUGAAUAGAGAUUUUAGGAUAUAUUUUAGAGUUAUUGAACGUUAGACUAUCUCAAUAUGGUGAUUCGGAGUUCGAGGAUUAAUUUGGAGUCAAAUUAGGAAUUUUCAUAACAUAGGGGCAAAAUGGUCAUUUUACCACCCGAGGGCAAAAUGGGAAUGUUUGAUGAAAUUUUUGACCAAGUUUGACUAAUUGGAGAAUGAUUUGAAUUUGAGAAAUGAAAAAUUUUAAUUUCGACAUUUUUCCGAACAUAAGGGCAAAAUAGUCAUUUUACGUGUCGAUAAGGACGUAAUUGAAAUUUUUGGAAUUUUACACCACCAUAACACUUGUCAAGCCCAUGAAUUUUACCUAUUAUUAUUUUAUACUUUGGAUAAUUAAGAGAUUACAUAUGGUGGUGAGAAAAUGCUUAAUUGUUAAGUUUUAACCAUGGACCAAUCACAUGGUGACACACGUCAAGUUUUAAUAUUUUUAUAAUUUCCUUUAUAAAGUCAACAUAAACUCUCCCAUUUCACUCUUCAUGGCUGGCCAAAGCAAUGAUCAAAGAGAAAAGAAUAGAAACAAACCCUAGAGAGGAAAAUUCAAGAGAAAUUUAUUGAAUUUCAAAGAACAAAGCAAUCAAUGGUAAGAUUUUUCAAUUUUAGCUUAAAAUCUACCUUUCCCAUGCUUUCUUUUUCAUUUUCUAUGGUUGAAACACAAGUUUCCAUGAGAGAAUACUUGUUGGCCAAACAUAGGGAGAGAGGUUUUGAUGAUGGAUUUUGCUAGAUUUCAUGAUAUCUUAGUGUUUUUAGUUGUUUGAUGAUGUUUGGCAUGAAAAACAAGCAAGAAAAUCACAUGCCCUUCAACAACCCUUUUUGGCCAAAUGUUAUAAAUGACAUGUUGAUGAUGGAUUUUGUUGUAUUUCAUGUUAUUUAGCUCGUAAUUGAUGAUUUAUGUCAUCGGAUAUCAAAAACGGCUAUCGAAAAGUAUAGUUCCUUUAGUAAACGACUUGAACAAUAAUGAGAAAAUCAUAGUAAAUGGACUUGGAUUUGAUUCCUAAUGAUGUAGAUGGAUUUAUUGGACUAUGUUAACACUGAUUAGCACAUUAGUUCAAAAUCAGAAUGAAUUUCGAUUUUGAUGAAUUAAGUCACAAUCAAGCUUAUUGAGGUACUUUGGUGUAUUUGGAAUAUUGGAAGUGUAAUGAAUAUAUUUGAAGUUGAAUUAGAUGUUUUGGUUAAUUCAACAGUGUAUAGUUCAAGUUAGGUCGAAUACAAAUUAAGUUCGAUCAUAAUUGAACCCAUGUAGAACACCGUCCUUAUGUGAUUAUUCGAACAAUUCUCAUUCAAUGUCAUGCAUUCAUAUAGAGAUUGAAAUAGUUUUAUAACAGUUUGGCUCAAAUAUAUUGAAUUAUGUGUUGUGUAUUAUGUAUAGGUGGUGAGCCCUCUAAUAAGGGUAAAAAUAUUGUACCCGAGGACCAAGAAUAGGAGUACUCGAAAUUUCCAUUAUUGUGAGUAAUCAAAUGUUCAUCUUAACUAUCUAAAGUAGUUUAUACUCAUUUUUAUGAUUUUAAAAAAUAAUGAACUUAAACCGUAGAUUUUUAUGUUUUAUAAGUUAAGUGUUGGCUAAAUGAAUGAGAUUUAUAAAUUAUUUUGCAAUUCAAUGAUGAUUUUGGAAAUUGAGUAGGUGGAGACUAUAUACUUGUGUUAUCUAUAUAUAUAUAUAUAUAUGGUUUGAAUUAAUGGCUUAUGACAAUGUGAUGGCAUGAAUGGCUGGAUUUGUGGUUUGUGGAUUAUAUAAACUGUUUUGUUUUACCUUAACAGGCUGGGUAAUAUUGUAUUAGCCAUGUCAUGCUGUCGAAAUUUUUAUUGAUUUGGUGGGUUAUUUAAUUAGCUUACUACAGUGGGUAGGUUUCCAUGGACCAGCCUAUUAGAGGGGCACGGUAAACCCCGUUAUAUUUUACCUUAGUAUGAGAGGUGCGGAGGGUAUCUCCUAAGGUAAGUUUAGAGUUCACUUCACGCCGAACCACCACGUGAGGAUGAAACUCAGCCAACGCCAAGGAAUGACUAUAUUUUAAAAGUAAAAACAUGUUUUAUGGGUAUAUGUUGUUUUAAUAUCCUUGGCGAACUCGGUUGGAUGCCCGGGCCAAGGUUUCACCGAGUAUGAGUUUUGACACAAGCCAAGUUUUUAAGAGAAUCAUAAGCCUUGUUGAUUGUUUCGAUGAAAUGUAAUUGUUUUAUAUGAAUUGAAAUGAGUUUUAAAUGUUAUGAAUCAUAUUAUGAUGGGAUGAUUUAAUUGUCUCAAUUUACGUAGCUUUAGAUGUUGUAGAUAAACUUUGCUUACUCAGUGGGUUUACAAAAACUCACCCCUUUCUUUUUACCCAUUUCAGGCUCAAGAUAGUAUGUAGACAGUCGAUUUUGUCGAGGGUUGCUUUUGGAUUAGCAUCCUUAGAAAUCGAAGGUCUACAGUCUUGUAUAUUUUCGGUUAUUUUGGAGCCCACAUGUCAUUGUAAAAUAUUUUUGUAUACUUGGUUUAGUGUGCUAUUAUAUAUAUGAAUUUAUUUUGCUCUUGCGCUACAAAAUUUGUUUAUGUAGGAUUCUAUAAAUAUUGUUUUAUAAGAAAAUGAAAUAUUUUAUUUAAUGUUUUAUUUAGUUUGAUUAGCCAUAAUUUCAUUUUAAAUGGAUGAUCUAGAUUACUAAAAUUUUUUUUAGAUAAGAAAUGUAUAUUUUUCUAUCGUAUAUUGUAUUUUCACCAAGUUUCAAAAUUUUUGGAAAAAAAGGACCAAAAUACAGCUAUGUGGUAGAAAUUACUUUUUGUUUAUUUUUUAUUUAAAAAUAGUUUAUAUUCCCUUAAAAGAUGAUAUUUAGUAUUUGUUGCUCAUAGGGGACUCGUAAAAUUGAUGCAAGAGCCUUGCGAGGUUUUGGUUGACAUUUCGAGUAAUGAAUGUCUAUCGAGACAUCGCGAUGGUUGUCAUGGGCUUGAAGGGAGUACCGGGUCGUGACAGUGGUAUAUGAAUUGGUAUAUGUUUAAG
Molecule: long non-coding RNA, 4206 nt
Filed under: Theobroma cacao (cacao)
Lineage: Eukaryota; Viridiplantae; Streptophyta; Magnoliopsida; Malvales; Malvaceae
Description: long non-coding RNA (TCAC_LNC003946)
Source: RNAcentral